GCCCUGGUGGUCUAGUGGUUAAGAUUCUGCACUCCCAUUGCCACAGCCCAGGUUCAUUUCCUGGUCAGGGAG
This 72-nucleotide transfer RNA is filed under the name Equus caballus (horse). It matches the Rfam family "tRNA". From Rfam's summary of the family: Transfer RNA (tRNA) molecules are approximately 80 nucleotides in length. Their secondary structure includes four short double-helical elements and three loops (D, anti-codon, and T loops). Lineage: Eukaryota; Metazoa; Chordata; Mammalia; Perissodactyla; Equidae. The record is from Rfam by way of RNAcentral.